UCUAAUAUGGCAGAUUAGUGCAGUGGGUUUAAGCUCCAAAAAUAAAGUAUCUUCUUUUUUUAGAA
Molecule: transfer RNA, 65 nt
Filed under: Phyllothelys breve
Lineage: Eukaryota; Metazoa; Arthropoda; Insecta; Mantodea; Hymenopodidae
Description: tRNA-Leu
Source: RNAcentral